Molecule: long non-coding RNA, 331 nt
Filed under: Elaeis guineensis (African oil palm)
Lineage: Eukaryota; Viridiplantae; Streptophyta; Magnoliopsida; Arecales; Arecaceae
Description: long non-coding RNA (EGUI_LNC015698)
Source: RNAcentral
GUACUUUUCUCCUUAUUUUGUAAUAAUUUUUUCGAAAUAAAAUGAAACUAUCAUCUCCUUGCAUUAUCCAACUUGAUCCCUAUGCAUGUCUUUCUUCUUUAUUCAUCUAGCAAUUUUUUUUAUAAAAUUAGCUAAGUAAUGAAGUCGAUAAUAAGACAAUGCAGUCAGUUGAAGAUGAUAGACCGAGCAAAUCACAAUCGAACUAAAAGAUUUGAUAAAAUCUUUCAAAUCUUGUAGUCAAUAAUAAAGCAAAAUAGUCGGUAGGGAGCAGCCAAACCGAGUAGGUGGGAGCCGAAUUAACGAACUUGAGAAAAUUCACAAAGUCGUGUGG